AAUCCUACGGGAGGCAGCAGUAGGGAAUCUUCCACAAUGGACGAAAGUCUGAUGGAGCAACGCCGCGUGAGUGAAGAAGGGUUUCGGCUCGUAAAGCUCUGUUGGUAGUGAAGAAAGAUAGAGGGAGUAACUGGCCUUUAUUUGACGGGAAUUACUUAGAAAGUCACGGCUAACUAAGUGCCAGCAGCCGCGGUAAUACGUAGGUGGCAAGCGGUGUCCGGAUUUAUUGGGCGUAAAGCGGGUGCAGGCGGGUCAAAAA
Molecule: ribosomal RNA, 259 nt
Filed under: uncultured bacterium
Lineage: Bacteria
Description: partial 16S ribosomal RNA
Rfam family: Bacterial small subunit ribosomal RNA
Source: RNAcentral